RNAcentral lists this transfer RNA (72 nucleotides) under Ornithorhynchus anatinus (platypus). It matches the Rfam family "tRNA". Rfam says of the family: Transfer RNA (tRNA) molecules are approximately 80 nucleotides in length. Lineage: Eukaryota; Metazoa; Chordata; Mammalia; Monotremata; Ornithorhynchidae. The record is from Rfam by way of RNAcentral.
AGCAGCGUGGCUUAGUGGCAAGAGCCUGGGCUUGGGAGUCAGAGGUCUUGGGUUCUAAUCCUGACUCUGCCA